Molecule: ribosomal RNA, 297 nt
Filed under: Triticum aestivum (bread wheat)
Lineage: Eukaryota; Viridiplantae; Streptophyta; Magnoliopsida; Poales; Poaceae
Description: partial small subunit ribosomal RNA
Source: RNAcentral
AUGCCCUCCCUCGCCUCCCUCGGCCACACCAUCACCGAAAAGCUUACCCGUGAAAACUUUCUGGUGUGGAAGGCUCAAGUGCUCCCGCAUGUCAGGGCCGCGGCGAUGACAGGCUAUCUUGACGGCUCGAUCAAGGAGCCCGCCGCUGUCAUCGUCACCGAGAAGGACAACGCCGGGAAGAAGGAGACCACCGAGGCGCCCAACCCAGAACACGCGAUCUGGGUCACUCAAGAUCAGCAGGUGCUUACCUUCUUGCUCGCCUCUCUAUCCCGCGAGGUUCUGAUGCAGGUUUCCAAC